AGCAAGUCGAACGAUGAAGGGAGCUUGCUCCUGGAUUAGUGGCGAACGGGUGAGUAACACGUGAGUAACCUGCCCUUGACUCUGGGAUAAGCCUGGGAAACUGGGUCUAAUACCGGAUAUGACCUUCCAUCGCAUGGUGGUUGGUGGAAAGCUUUUGUGGUUUUGGAUGGACUCGCGGCCUAUCAGCUUGUUGGUGGGGUAAUGGCCUACCAAGGCGACGACGGGUAGCCGGCCUGAGAGGGUGACCGGCCACACUGGGACUGAGACACGGCCCAGACUCCUACGGGAGGCAGCAGUGGGGAAUAUUGCACAAUGGGCGGAAGCCUGAUGCAGCGACGCCGCGUGAGGGAUGACGGCCUUCGGGUUGUAAACCUCUUUCAGUAGGGAAGAAGCGUAAGUGACGGUACCUGCAGAAGAAGCGCCGGCUAACUACGUGCCAGCAGCCGCGGUAAUACGUAGGGCGCAAGCGUUAUCCGGAAUUAUUGGGCGUAAAGAGCUCGUAGGCGGUUUGUCGCGUCUGCCGUGAAAGUCCGGGGCUCAACUCCGGAUCUGCGGUGGGUACGGGCAGACUAGAGUGAUGUAGGGGAGACUGGAAUUCCUGGUGUAGCGGUGAAAUGCGCAGAUAUCAGGAGGAACACCGAUGGCGAAGGCAGGUCUCUGGGCAUUAACUGACGCUGAGGAGCGAAAGCAUGGGGAGCGAACAGGAUUAGAUACCCUGGUAGUCCAUGCCGUAAACGUUGGGCACUAGGUGUGGGGGACAUUCCACGUUUUCCGCGCCGUAGCUAACGCAUUAAGUGCCCCGCCUGGGGAGUACGGCCGCAAGGCUAAAACUCAAAGGAAUUGACGGGGGCCCGCACAAGCGGCGGAGCAUGCGGAUUAAUUCGAUGCAACGCGAAGAACCUUACCAAGGCUUGACAUGAACCAGACCGGGCUGGAAACAGUUCUUCCCCUUUGGGGUUGGUUUACAGGUGGUGCAUGGUUGUCGUCAGCUCGUGUCGUGAGAUGUUGGGUUAAGUCCCGCAACGAGCGCAACCCUCGUUCCAUGUUGCCAGCGGGUAGUGCCGGGGACUCAU
RNAcentral lists this ribosomal RNA (1073 nucleotides) under Arthrobacter sp. DiSca5. Its description in RNAcentral is "bacterial SSU rRNA". It matches the Rfam family "Bacterial small subunit ribosomal RNA", at positions 56 to 1142 of the family's 1533-position model. The record is from RNAcentral. Lineage: Bacteria; Bacillati; Actinomycetota; Actinomycetes; Micrococcales; Micrococcaceae.